This 497-nucleotide ribosomal RNA is filed under the name uncultured bacterium. Its description in RNAcentral is "partial 16S ribosomal RNA". It matches the Rfam family "Bacterial small subunit ribosomal RNA", at positions 28 to 507 of the family's 1533-position model. The record is from RNAcentral.
GAUGAACGCUGGCGGCGUGCCUAAUACAUGCAAGUCGAGCGAACAGACGAGGAGCUUGCUCCUCUGACGUUAGCGGCGGACGGGUGAGUAACACGUGGAUAACCUACCUAUAAGACUGGGAUAACUUCGGGAAACCGGAGCUAAUACCGGAUAACAUGAUGAACCGCAUGGUUCAACAGUGAAAGACGGUCUUGCUGUCACUUAUAGAUGGAUCCGCGCCGCAUUAGCUAGUUGGUAAGGUAACGGCUUACCAAGGCAACGAUGCGUAGCCGACCUGAGAGGGUGAUCGGCCACACUGGAACUGAGACACGGUCCAGACUCCUACGGGAGGCAGCAGUAGGGAAUCUUCCGCAAUGGGCGAAAGCCUGACGGAGCAACGCCGCGUGAGUGAAGAAGGUCUUCGGAUCGUAAAACUCUGUUAUUAGGGAAGAACAAAUGUGUAAGUAACUAUGCACGUCUUGACGGUACCUAAUCAGAAAGCCACGGCUAACUACGUG